Molecule: ribosomal RNA, 254 nt
Filed under: uncultured bacterium
Lineage: Bacteria
Description: partial 16S ribosomal RNA
Rfam family: Bacterial small subunit ribosomal RNA
Source: RNAcentral
UACGUAGGGUGCGAGCGUUGUCCGGAAUUAUUGGGCGUAAAGAGCUCGUAGGCGGUCUGUCGCGUCGAUCGUGAAAACUUGGGGCUUAACCCUGAGCUUGCGGUCGAUACGGGCAUGACUGGAGUUCGGCAGGGGAGACUGGAAUUCCUGGUGUAGCGGUGAAAUGCGUAGAUAUCGCUUGGAACGCCAACGGUGAAAACAGCUCGCUGGGGGUGUGCUGACGCUGAGACACGAAAGCCAGGGGAGCGAACGGG